RNAcentral lists this ribosomal RNA (274 nucleotides) under uncultured bacterium. RNAcentral describes it as "partial 16S ribosomal RNA". It matches the Rfam family "Bacterial small subunit ribosomal RNA", at positions 523 to 796 of the family's 1533-position model. The record is from RNAcentral.
AUACGAAAGGUGCAAGCGUUGUUCGGAUUUACUGGGCGUAAAGAGAGUGUAGGUGGUUUAUUAAGUCGGAUGUGAAAUCCCGGGGCUCAACCUCGGAACUGCAUUCGAUACUGAUAGGCUAGAGUGUGGGAGGGGUAAGCGGAAUUCCGUGUGUAGCAGUGAAAUGCGUAGAUAUACGGAGGAACACCUGAGGCGAAGGCGGCUUACUGGACCAAUACUGACACUGAGACUCGAAAGCGUGGGUAGCAAACAGGAUUAGAUACCCUAGUAGUCC